GCCCUCAUGGUCAAGCGGUUAAGACGUCGCCCUCUCACGGCGGAAUCUGGGGUUCGAUUCCCCAUGAGGGUACCA
This 75-nucleotide transfer RNA is filed under the name Bacillota bacterium. RNAcentral describes it as "tRNA-Glu". It matches the Rfam family "tRNA". From Rfam's summary of the family: Transfer RNA (tRNA) molecules are approximately 80 nucleotides in length. Their secondary structure includes four short double-helical elements and three loops (D, anti-codon, and T loops). The record is from RNAcentral. RNAcentral also lists the same sequence under 6 other names. Lineage: Bacteria; Bacillati; Bacillota.